Long non-coding RNA from Oreochromis aureus, 264 nucleotides. RefSeq lists it as uncharacterized. The record is from RefSeq and is a predicted model, not a curated record. The transcript is spliced from 3 exons. NCBI's taxonomy places the organism in Eukaryota, Metazoa, Chordata, Actinopteri, Cichliformes, Cichlidae.
CCAGCGUGUACACCAGAGACUGAGCCCAGGUCUGCACCUGAAUGCACCACAGCAACAGAGAUGCAUGAUGGGUAGUCUCACCUUUCCCUCAAUUUCCUGUCCUGGCUCCACCUCCUUCAACAGGCUCAUCCUGCUGACUGUUGUCUUCACCUGACGUGAGGGGGAGGUAGAAACACACCUGAGUCCAGGUCAGCUGAUCAGUGAGACAGUCUGAAAGGACGUCCAUCCGUCCAGUCAGAAGCAGACGUCCUCCUGGAGAGAAAC